This is a long non-coding RNA of Lucilia sericata (common green bottle fly), 281 nucleotides long. RefSeq lists it as uncharacterized. Lineage: Eukaryota; Metazoa; Arthropoda; Insecta; Diptera; Calliphoridae. The transcript is spliced from 2 exons. The record is from RefSeq and is a predicted model, not a curated record.
AAUAUAUAAAAGUGGUGUAAAAAAGUAAAAUAGUUAACAGUUUUCCAAUAACUUUAAUAACGGAAUAAAGUCAUUCGUUCGUGAAAAAAAAUGAAAUUUAUUAAUUUGUUCCUUAUAGUCGCUUGCAUUGUUGCCAGUGCAAUGGCUACUCCAGACAAUUUUAAUGCGCAAGGUGUUUCUAACUCCGGUUAUUUUUCUCAAGGUGGAAAGAAGUGAUUUAAUUUAUUUCAUUAAAAUGUUAUAAAUAAAAGAACAAAUUUUAAAAAGUUCAUUCAAUAUAA